Molecule: ribosomal RNA, 835 nt
Filed under: uncultured bacterium
Lineage: Bacteria
Description: bacterial SSU rRNA
Rfam family: Bacterial small subunit ribosomal RNA
Source: RNAcentral
AGUUCUUCGGAAUUAGAGACCGGCGCACGGGUGCGUAACGCGUAUGCAAUCUACCUUUUACAGAGGGAUAGCCCAGAGAAAUUUGGAUUAAUACCUCAUAGUAUGCAGAGUUGGCAUCAACACUGCAUUAAAGUCACAACGGUAAAAGAUGAGCAUGCGUCCCAUUAGCUAGUUGGUAAGGUAACGGCUUACCAAGGCUACGAUGGGUAGGGGUCCUGAGAGGGAGAUCCCCCACACUGGUACUGAGACACGGACCAGACUCCUACGGGAGGCAGCAGUGAGGAAUAUUGGACAAUGGGCGCAAGCCUGAUCCAGCCAUGCCGCGUGCAGGAUGACGGUCCUAUGGAUUGUAAACUGCUUUUGUACGGGAAGAAACACUCCUUCGUGAAGGAGCUUGACGGUACCGUAAGAAUAAGGAUCGGCUAACUCCGUGCCAGCAGCCGCGGUAAUACGGAGGAUCCAAGCGUUAUCCGGAAUCAUUGGGUUUAAAGGGUCCGUAGGCGGUUUAGUAAGUCAGUGGUGAAAGCCCAUCGCUCAACGGUGGAACGGCCAUUGAUACUGCUAGACUUGAAUUAUUAGGAAGUAACUAGAAUAUGUAGUGUAGCGGUGAAAUGCUUAGAGAUUACAUGGAAUACCAAUUGCGAAGGCAGGUUACUACUAAUGGAUUGACGCUGAUGGACGAAAGCGUGGGUAGCGAACAGGAUUAGAUACCCUGGUAGUCCACGCCGUAAACGAUGGAUACUAGCUGUUGGGAGCGAUCUCAGUGGCUAAGCGAAAGUGAUAAGUAUCCCACCUGGGGAGUACGUUCGCAAGAAUGAAACUCAAAGGAAUUGAC